AGAUUGAACGCUGGCGGCAGGCCUAACACAUGCAAGUCGAGCGGCAGCACGGGUACUUGUACCUGGUGGCGAGCGGCGGACGGGUGAGUAAUGCCUAGGAAUCUGCCUGAUAGUGGGGGAUAACGUUCGGAAACGGACGCUAAUACCGCAUACGUCCUACGGGAGAAAGUGGGGGAUCUUCGGACCUCACGCUAUCAGAUGAGCCUAGGCCGAUUAGCUAGUUGGUAGGUAAAGGCCUACAA
RNAcentral lists this ribosomal RNA (242 nucleotides) under uncultured soil bacterium. Its description in RNAcentral is "partial 16S ribosomal RNA". It matches the Rfam family "Bacterial small subunit ribosomal RNA", at positions 26 to 270 of the family's 1533-position model. The record is from RNAcentral.